CAUUAAUUACUAUAUUUAAUUUUUAACAUUCUCUAAAAGUAAGGUCCUACCUCACUCUUCAAAACGUCCUUAUCCAGAACUAAAGAGCUGCUCAAAAACGCAAUUUGUCAUUUGAUUUCUCUGUUGCAGCCUCUUCUCCUCUACAAUUCUUGUGUUUUACAUCUCAAAACUGAAAACUUUGCAUAAGGGAGAGAAAAAGAAAAGAAAUGGGGAGGAUGGAGUACUUGAAAAUGAGUAAGUACAGGCCGAUUUGAUCAAGUCUGAUCUCAACGAGCUCAAGGUUGCUGCCAAGCGACUCAUCAAUGAUGCCACUAGGCUUGGUGGCCUUGGCUUUGGUACUUCUUUUCUCAAAUGGGUUGCUUCUUUUGCUGCCAUAUAUUUGCUGAUAUUGGAUCGGACAAACUGGAGAACAAACAUGCUGACUUCCCUCUUAGUCCCUUACAUUUUCUUUAGUCUUCCUUCAGUAAUAUUCAAUUUCUUAAGAGGUGAGGUCGGAAAAUGGAUUGCUUUCAUUGCAGUGGU
RNAcentral lists this unclassified non-coding RNA (522 nucleotides) under Hevea brasiliensis (rubber tree). Lineage: Eukaryota; Viridiplantae; Streptophyta; Magnoliopsida; Malpighiales; Euphorbiaceae. The record is from RNAcentral.